UGAAUUAUAUGUGUCGAUUGAUUAUAUACUAUGAGCUAUAUCUGAUUUCCAAAUUGUGGUGAAUAGUUGACUUACGAUUUUGAGAGGGGCUGGUGUAGGCAUCUGAAUCAACUGGACCAAGACCAGUUUCUUCUGCAUCGUUCUCACAUCAAUAGCAUUAGCAUUCAACCACUCCCCUGUAACAUCUAUUCAAGCACAAGUUAAACAUACUUGUUCAUUUGGGUUUUUCUUUUAAAAAUACUUUUAAGAUGUAAAAAGAUUAAAAGAAAUUUUUGAAUUUCAGAUUAAAGUUUGAAUAACUUAGUGAUUAACUAAAGGAAAUAAAAAGGUAAAAGAAAAAAUAGUACCAAUCAAUAGGGGGACAUCUUGGUAAAAUGAAGGAAAAGGGUGUUUCCUUUUCGACAGAGUUACAGAUUCAGAACCAUAUGCCCAAGCACUCAAAAGUUGAAAAACUCCAUAUAUCAUGAAAGAUACCUAAACAUUUAGAGUUACACAUAACGUGUAAUAUAAUAAUAAUAAUAAUAAUAAUAAUAAUAAUAAUAAUAAUAAUAAUAAUAUGUUUGAUUACUCAUUUGAUUAAAAGCUGUACAGAUUUUAUCUUAGUUUUUAUAUUUAAAAAUUGUUUAUUUUAAUUUUCGUGCCUAUCAUUUUAAAGCACGCAUAUAUAAAUUAGAGUUAAAAAAUCAGAUGCUGUCAAACACAGAAGAAAACUAUAUGAGCACAUAUAUAUAAAUUAGAGUUAAAAAAUCACCNUUUUCUAUAACAAAAUCAUCAGAACGUGCACAGAGAUGCCUUAUUCCACUAGUUUUUCUUUGAUUUUGAUGUCACGGACAAGUGAAACUAAAUCUGGUAAAACAUUUAGCGUAAGAAACAUGGAUCAGUUAGCUACAACUGGACUGCGAUGAAAUAUAUGUCCAAGUUAUUUUAUCAUUAUUUACCAAACAACUGGACUGUUAAUUCUUCAUGUUACAUGUUAUAUAAUGACUUUUAAUGUCUUAUGACAAAUGAUACCAAACAUAUGAUACCAUGGGAUGCACUUCAAAAUUGACUAAAACAUUCAAAAUAGAAGGCUAAAUCUACACCAUCUACAUUCUGACAACAGCACUCACCAUAGAGAUGGUUAAACACUACUUUUGUUGCUUGAAUGACCUUUAUGCAGUCCAAAAAAGUUGUGACAGUACUAUGGGUAUAUGUCAGAGUAACUUCUCCAAGAGUUACUUGUACCCAAUUAAAGAAUUACGAAGUUCACCUCAACACUUCACGGUUCCCCUAAUCAAGAUCCCUGGCAAAAGAAGAUAUGUGAAAAUUUAAGACAAGACAAGAUAUUAGAUACAAAGGUUGAAUAUGGAUUUUUGCAAAACAUAUAAAGAUCUCUGUUAGCAGCGUGAGAUGAGAACCUCAAAAUCACAGCCAAAGAAGACCAAGAAACAAGUAGCUUAUCAGGAUGUCCAACUUGGAUGCCACUUUGUUUUGUGUUAGGUAUCCAACUUGGAUGUCACCUUGUGAAAGGAUAAGAACAUUGAACACAUUACUUCUUUUUGCCAAAAAAUGCAUCAAGAAUG
RNAcentral lists this long non-coding RNA (1562 nucleotides) under Vigna radiata. RNAcentral describes it as "long non-coding RNA (VRAD_LNC005758)". Lineage: Eukaryota; Viridiplantae; Streptophyta; Magnoliopsida; Fabales; Fabaceae. The record is from RNAcentral.